Molecule: long non-coding RNA, 6403 nt
Organism: Ornithorhynchus anatinus (platypus)
Lineage: Eukaryota; Metazoa; Chordata; Mammalia; Monotremata; Ornithorhynchidae
Exons: 3
Source: RefSeq, a predicted model, not a curated record
CAGAGCUGGAUUAGAACCCCGGUCCUUCUGACUCCCAGGACCGUGCCUUUAUCUACUUGGCCACGCUGCUUUUCUGCAAUUUCUGCCAUACUGCCUCCAUUCACCUGUUUGGGUUUGGGAUUUGGUGAGGGGGGGUGGUUUGUUGUUGUGUCUUUUUUUUCCCUCCAUUCCAGCUGAAGGCCUCUCCUCAGCCUCUUACCUCCCAUCCCUUUUCCAGGCCUCAGCUAUAUCCUGCUUAUCAGGUAAAGUAUCUGCCAACAGCUUCCAUUCCAGCCCUUUUUUUCUGGUUAAAUAUAUUUGGAAAAACCGAGAAUGACCCAGAUCUAUAUUUUCCUAAGCGAGAAAAGAACCUUCUGAAUAUUCCAGGCUCUACAACUUUUCAUGCUGUACUCAACCAACCAAGUAAAUGCUCUGUGGGUCUGGCUAGCUCCUGUAGUCUUUAGGUCCCCGAGGGCAGGGUUCACGUCGACUAAUUCUCUCCCAAGUGUUUAGUAAAAUGCUUUGCCCACUGUAGGCACUCGGUAAACACCAUUGAUUGAUAGAUUGGAAGCUUCCCUAACUUCCUACUUAAAAGAUUAUUGACCAUGUAUUUUGGUUGUUGUGGCUGUUGUCUCUCUGUGGGAAAGUUUAUCUUCAGUGUUUUGGGAUAGAGGCACUCAUGUUAUCACUCAAAAAUGGUUUCAUUUGAUUCCCUCUGACCAUGUGUUUGGAAAUAACAAGGGCCUGUCUUUGUAGAAGGGAAAUGUGUCAAGAUAAGGUCUCGAAAGGGAAAGAGGCAAAGAAAGCCAGAACCCUAUGGAGAGUGAUGGGACAGCUGAAAUCAAUCAAUCCAUCAGUGGUUUUUGAGCACUUACUGUGUGCAAAGCACUGUCCUAAAUGCUUCAGAGUAUACAGUAGUGGUGGUAAACACCAUCCCUACCCUCAAGAAGUUUCGAGUCUAGCAGAAGAGCUCCAACCAGGAGCUAGCUCUAAGUCAGGCUACAAGAAAGAGAAAACUAACCUGACAUUUGGUCUCUCUGCCUGUUUGGGGGAAAAUGUGAGUUCAGCUUCUUUUCUCCCAAGCACCCUGAUCCUCUUGUGUGAAGAGCAGAACCCCCGUGCAGGGUUUUAGGAUGUCAAUGCGAUGAAAUGAAUGAACACCACCAUACUUGCUCUAAACAGAAAACCAGAAAAUGCUCACGUAAAGAAUGCUGAAUAAUUUGGCCCUUGUUUUAAUUGACUGUAGGCACUUCUUUGGAAAUGUCUGAAGUGUAGUUUGUGAAACAUGUUCCAAAAGUGUUUGAUGUAAAAUAAGCUCUAGCCAUUUACAGUGCAGAAUAGUCAAAAAGCUGUAGAUUACAACUCUGUUCCUAAGAGCCUCAGCCUUUGUGUCUUAGUAAAGUUGAUCUGUUUUUUUUUAUUUGACAUUUCUGGUGAAAUAGCCUCGAGAUAAAAUUAUUAAUACAUAUGUGCUGGUUAAUACCUGUUAAUUCAGAACAUGGCACUUUGUUAUUUCGGUGUGUUCCACUCAACAUCACAGGGUAUAUCAAUUUGGUAGGAAAGAUUAAAAAAAAACAAAAAAUCAACAGAUCAAAAGUAUAGAUUUCCUCAAUAGAAAAACAUAUAGUGCUUAGUCAAAAAUCCCUUAAAUUAUCCUCCCAAGUAAUACUUUUCUGUUAAGAAUCAAGAUGAUGGUUGUGGUUGAGCUGUUGCAAUUUGGUUCAUUUGCAAGUGUUGAUGGAAUUUUUUGAGCUAAAUGUAAUGUUCUCAAAAAAAAUCCUAAACUCUUGUAAAGUUGUCCUUCAGCCUAAUCUAAACCAUUCGUGUUUUAGCCAUGAUCUCCCACUGGGGAUGUUUUGUCUUCUCAGCUAUAUGCAGAUGACGACAACCAUGAUUAGUACAUGAUGCCAUUUCUUGGGGAAAAAUACUGUGUACUUGAAAAAAAAAAGUGUUUCCCAAUAUAAUUGGGUACAGUCUUCACUUGAUUUUCUUACUUCUGUAGUUUGCACAGUCUUGGGGCAGUUUGAUGAAUGCUGUGCCCAAAAGCUGCUUGCUUACAAUAGGUGAAAGGGAAGAUCAUUGAUCCUAAAAUGAAAAAUCAUCUACAGGACAGGUAUUUUAUACUAGACCUCAUUACGUUACUCAUUUCCUAGAUUGAUUUCUCUUGUGUAUAAAUUGUGACAUCAAAGAUGCCAAAGGGUAAAUAAAAUAAGCUACAAUGAUAUUCAACAGAACUUAACCUGGACCUUAUGUUGUAAUAAUUUAUUCAUAUUAGCCGUAGUCUUCUGUAUUUAUAUUUUCAGUAUUUAUUAUGAAUGAAAUGGAAAUUGAUGUAUCUAUUGUGGCUUUAUUAUUGCAGUGUAUAUACUAUAAAUGAGCAUUUUUAAGUCUUAAUUUUAUGUUUCUUUUGUUAGUGGCACUCGUAUUAUGCUGUACUUUUUAUUCUAUAUUGUACACGAUUGUCCAUUUGUUUGCAGCCAAGUAAAACAGGUUUCUACGUUAUAACAGCUAUGGCAUUUUGCACUGUGCAUCCUUUGGACCAGUUUAUAAUACUUAGUGUUUAAACUCUUCUCUGAUGGUUUAUACUGGCUGGUGUUUCAGGUGGCGCUCGAUUUCUGGGUAGAAGGGGAUCUUUCUCCCUUUUAAAAGUACUCUGAUUUGUUCAGGGCGGAAGACUGUGGUUCUGUUCACAGCACCCAUCCUUGUAAUGCUUUCCCCCUGUAUUGUAAAGGCUGCCUUAUGUGCUCAACCCCUUUGGCUUUCCCACAAAGACUGUUCCUCUUGAUGGUCUGGGUCUUAUUUGGCCCUGAGAGCACCACUGUACCCCACUCGUGCCAGGCUCGCUACCUGCCCCUGGCAGACGCUGAAUGUUUGUUUUGGGCUCAGGCCUCCACUGGCCGAGUGAAGCAGAGAAGCCAGGCACUGAUCAAAGAUUUUCCACUCACGUGAAAAAACAUUUUCCUCCACGCGAAUCACUUAGAGAAUUGUAACCCAAAUGGGUCUUUUACUCCGGGCGAUCCAGAUCUUUGCUCAGCUUCUAGGUUUCACUUGCCUGAGAAGACCUGACAAUCCAGACAGUUAAAAAUGGUUUUCGGUACCUGUGAUGGCCAAGCUGAAAGUAGAUGGAGACCUGAAGGACAUCAAGGAUGCCUCGACGGCUCACCUCUGGCACAAGCUCCAAACGGAGGAACCCCCCGGCCCUUUCAGUUGGGGAAAAGAAGCAGAGCCCUCACUGGGACAGGACGGAAGAGGUGAGAAAGGACAUCAAACACGCUUGGCUCAAAUCCUGCAGACGACUUUCCUGUGAUGAGCAGAAUUGCAGUCACAAAACAGCGCUCAGGGUUUGCUCAACUGCAGUUAUAUCUGAGUAUGUAUAUGAAGUCCAAAUACCUCCCUUAUCCACAGGCCCUUGGAUGAAAAUUGGACUCCCUUUCAGAAGCUCCUGUGGGUUUUGCUCAGCUGAGGGGAAGGUCUUCUCUUGAGGAUGUACCUAAUCCUGCUCCGACCACAGUUGCUGGCCUCUACCCUCCAUGUGCCUUCACCACCGUCUUCCACUUCCUCUCCACAACCCAGCAGUACUGGUCUUCCCCAAUUUUAGCUGCUGAACUAAUUUAAUCAAAAAUCCCCUAUGAAAUAUUUAUGGUACAUGGUCUGUACCAAGCAUGGUGUUAAAAAGGUACAUAAGAUCAGGGCCCAGUGGGCUGGUUUCUAAUUAAUCCAAAGCACACUGUGGCUCGUUACGCCCAAACUGCUUGAGUGAGUGUGCCAGCGAAAUGUGAGAAAUCACCCGGUAGCUCUCUUGUUUCAGAGACCUGCUGGGUGUAUGGGGUACAGUCCCAUAACUGGUUAGUUGGGCUCUUAAGUGGGGAAGGAAUGCUGUCAAGCUCCAUGUGAGCAGGGAAUGUGUCUGGCUGCUUAGUAACCGUGCUUUGCACAUCGUAAGCGCUCAACAAAGAGGACUGAAACCCCUUCCCCCUGGACCCUUUGCACAGCUACAGGAGAUGACUGGGGCAGAGAAAUGAAAUGUUCACAUCAAUACUCUAGGCUGCAGUUUUGCUAUGCAAAUUAGACCAAGUUUACCCUAGCUAAAAUACUGGAAUAGGAAUCUUCUCUAGGUAACAGUGCUUGUCCUAAAAUAGAGACGAUUCUACAGAAUUAAGUAGAUUAGCAUUCGUUUGCAUGUUUUCUUGGUCAAGCUUUAACACAGCUAAAUGUAGUUGACAGCAAAUAGCACUCCUGUUCCCAAACUGGGAGACAGCACGGGUUACAGGAGAUGGGGACUUCUAGCCCGCUAAGUGAUUCACCGCAAGGUACUUACCAGUUCUCUGCCUCAGUUUCUCCAACUGUAAAUUAAAGAAAAUGCUAAAUAGGAUAUUUUGAGGCCCAAAACCACAGUCGAUAUGAAAAUGCUUUUGGAAAUUAAUGUUAAAAUGUUUAGGUAGCUGCUUCAGUGGGAUUCCCUGACCAACAGAAGCUCCCAGGGAACCUCCAGACACAUGGUUUGCUCAUCCCCCAAAAGACCCAGUGAAAUGUAUCAUCUUGCUCUGCUCGCUAGUCAUAAUCUUCCUCUACCCCUCAUCCAAGCCCAUGUUUUCCUUUUCUGUUUUUUAGAAUGUCCACCCUCAGCUUAGGAGUGCACUGGGGGUGCAACAGACACCUAACUGCACAAAGUCUGUCCUCACUAAUUGAUGUAGACUACAAUAGUAGAAAUCUCACAAAGAAUAGAUAUGAGGGGAAAAAAGAACUACACCAUUUUAAAGAAGUAUCUUUUGAAAAACCCAGUUUUUACUUCUUAAGGGCAAAGAUUCAGAGCAGAACUACUGUAGAAAAUUCCCUCCUUCAAACACCAUAAAAUUAGCAGUUACUGAAUUGCACUGGGUGGUCUCUAUAUUGCCCAUAGGUCCUCGAUUUGAAAAAUUAUAUACAAUUUAAGAACACCAAACUACCAAGUCCUUUACCGAUCAAUAAUUUUCAAGGUAAUUCCUCACUGCUAAGAUGGUUACGUGCCUAUUAAAACAGAGAGGCGGGACCCUUAAUUUGGCUAGGCUUGUUGGGGGGGGGGGUGGGUAGCUUUGCAUGAGACUGUCAGCAGACCCAAAGAGACCCUCCAGCAUAAGUCUUCCUUAAAGUAAGGCUCAGUGACAAAUCAACUGCCACAUUAUCCAAGUGGCUGUCCCUUAGCCUCCUCCACCAUUAGACCGUAAUCUACCAUCCAUCGCCGAGUACAAUUCCAAUGAAAUAUGACUGUCUAAAACGUACGCACCUCUAGAUUGUCCCUUUUUCUAAUGAAAUGGUCAAAGAGGAAAAAAAAUAGAUCACUGCAAUUGAGGAAGGGGACAUUUUCACAGUUAAAGGAAAUUCGGUACAAAAGACUUGGUCUCCUACAGUUCCAAGCAAAAUCCACUUCUUCCCACCUCCAAACUCUGUGUGAGUUAGAACAAUAAGUGUAAAUAUACCAUAGUGUACAAUUCUGGAUUCCUAAAAGGAGAAAUUAAUUCUGCAAGAGAAGGUCAAUAUCAAAACAGAAAUGUUAAAUGCUGAGAUGCUUUAAAUCUGAAGGGAAAAAAAAGGAUAAUCUUGCAAAUAAGAGUUCUUUAUUUUCCAAGUUCUCCCAUCAGGUAGAGAAAGAUAAAGUUUUGGGGCAGCAAUGGGCAAACAAGUUUCAGAACAUUCAUAAUUUAAGAACCAGUGACGGAUGAAAUUUAGCUCCAUGUUUUGUAUUUGACUUUAACCUCCUUUAACUUUUAACAAGGUUCAUGAAUUUUAGUUAAAAAAAAAAAAAAAGAUGCCCUUACCAUUGGAAACCACCUGUCUGGAAAAUGUUUUUGAAAAUUUACAAAAUGUUGCUGAAGGAAAACACUAAGUGAAUACCAAGUAAAUUAAGGAAGACCUAAGUGCUUGAAAUAGAAUGGAAUUUGAGCUGAAAAAUGCCAUUUAAUUCUAAAGUUUUACAGUAUUCUGAAAUAAGAAUGUUCCUUAAAUGGUUUCCUCCUCCCUUUGAGGUUGAAGAAAAACUUGGCGGAAUACAACAGAGAGAACCACUUGGAUUUGUAUUAAAAAAUAGAAAUCCUAGACCUUAAGUCUUCCUGGUUUGCCCACCACAUACAUAAAGCACGAGCUGACCGUCACUGAUCAAAAAAAUCUUCUAAAUCAUUAAAAAAAUACAGUGUAUCAAAUCUAUUCUACCCCUCCCCAGACUAGGGGAAAAUAUAAUAUCUGUAAGAAUAUGUGUGCAUAUCUACAUCUCGCUGCCUAAGGCUACGCAAACACCGCCUUAUUCUGGAAAUUACCUUUCAGCGUACUGUAAACAUUUCUUCCCCUAAACCCGGACACCUCAAAUUCUUUGGUAUGACUAGUCAUUGUGCUUUGAAACAGAACCUUAAGGAAUGUCGGUCACAGUGCUGUCUGCACAUUCAUACAUAUC